ACUGAAUAAUUCUAUACUNUUAUAGAACCUACAAUGUAAAGACAAGUAACAAGAACCAACUUUCUCUAUCAGUAUAAGCAUAACCAAACCAAUUAACACACGAAUAAAAUGUAACAACACACUAGAAAACCCUACAACACCCCCUGUUAACCUAAUAUGAGAAUACUCCUAGAAAGAUUAAAAAAAAAAGAAGGAACUCGGCAAACCUAGAUUCCGCCUGUUUACCAAAAACAUCGCCUCUUGCAAAAUAUAAGAGGUCCUGUCUGCCCAGUGACCCUGUUCAACGGCCACGGUAUCCUGACCGUGCAAAGGUAGCGUAAUCACUUGUUUUCUAAUUAAAGACCUGUAUGAAAGACCACACGAGAGUCGCACUGUCUCCUCUCUUCAAUCAGUGAAACUAAUCUCCUCGUGCAAAAGCGAGUAUCACCCUAUAAGACGAAAAGACCCUGUGGAGCUUCAAACAUUAAACAUCUAUCAUUACUACCCCUGCAUCCACCCAUAUCCUAUAGUAUGAUUGUAAGUUUUUGGUUGGGGUGACCAUGGAGAAAAACCUAACCUCCAAGAUGAACCAGAAUUCUCUUAAAUGUUGAGCUACACCUCUAAAUAUCAGAAUACUGACAUAAUUGACCCUUCUUGAUCAACGAACCAAGCUACCCCAGGGAUAACAGCGCAAUCUACUUUAAGAGCACAUAUCGACAAGUAGGCUUACGACCUCGAUGUUGGAUCAGGGUAUCCCAGUGGC
Molecule: ribosomal RNA, 742 nt
Filed under: Adelophryne sp. 4 IRD-2018
Lineage: Eukaryota; Metazoa; Chordata; Amphibia; Anura; Eleutherodactylidae
Description: partial small subunit ribosomal RNA
Rfam family: Bacterial large subunit ribosomal RNA
Source: RNAcentral